GAUGAACGCUGGCGGCGUGCCUAAUACAUGCAAGUCGAGCGAACAGACGAGUAGCUUGCUCUUCUGACGUUAGCGGCGGACGGGUGAGUAACACGUGGAUAACCUACCUAUAAGACUGGGAUAACUUCGGGAAACCGGAGCUAAUACCGGAUAAUAUAUUGAACCGCAUGGUUCAAUAGUGAAAGACGGUUUUGCUGUCACUUAUAGAUGGAUCCGCGCCGCAUUAGCUAGUUGGUAAGGUAACGGCUUACCAAGGCAACGAUGCGUAGCCGACCUGAGAGGGUGAUCGGCCACACUGGAACUGAGACACGGUCCAGACUCCUACGGGAGGCAGCAGUAGGGAAUCUUCCGCAAUGGGCGAAAGCCUGACGGAGCAACGCCGCGUGAGUGAUGAAGGUCUUCGGAUCGUAAAACUCUGUUAUUAGGGAAGAACAAAUGUGUAAGUAACUAUGCACGUCUUGACGGUACCUAAUCAGAAAGCCACGGCUAACUACGUG
RNAcentral lists this ribosomal RNA (497 nucleotides) under uncultured bacterium. RNAcentral's name for it is "partial 16S ribosomal RNA". It matches the Rfam family "Bacterial small subunit ribosomal RNA", at positions 28 to 507 of the family's 1533-position model. The record is from RNAcentral.